Molecule: long non-coding RNA, 573 nt
Filed under: Bos taurus (domestic cattle)
Lineage: Eukaryota; Metazoa; Chordata; Mammalia; Artiodactyla; Bovidae
Description: long non-coding RNA NONBTAT022845
Source: RNAcentral
GGUCUGGGACUCACCAACACCCAUGAUGGAGACAUCCUUUGAUUGUGUCAUGAUUGUAUUCAAUUCCUUCUGUCUUUGUUUUUAGAACGAGAUGAAAUGUCCACGUCUCUAGAGUCCUAGAAAUGGUAAACACCCGCACAAAACUACCAACAAGAAACUGAUUGAGGCUGGGGAGGUGGGAAAGAAAGCCUGCUAUGUAACAACGGGCCUUCCAGUUCUAAUUUGAAUGCACUUUUCAUUUUUCAGUCUUGCUUCUUUUCUAGCUUCACCCAUCCCUGGAUAAAAUCUAAUUUAGAAACAAUGCUUGGGAGCACAUAUUCUUAGAUGACAAAAGAAGUCAUGUGAUGCAGCAUGUUAUCCUGAAUGCUGUGAGUUUUCUAUGUGAUCUAGAACUCCUGGUUAAAGUGGGAGAAUUUGGCUCCAAGAGCCUAUAUGACCAAGGUUUGGUGAUCAGUAAAGAGAUGAUAGAAUGGUCUAUAGGAUCAAUGAGGUAUCACAUUUUUUAAGAUUAGAUGUAUCCCUUGUCAAAAUAUUAGAGCAAAUCUUCGUAUGAAAUGAAGUGUGCAUGCCUCU